AUAGAUCUAUCAUCAUUCAAAUAGGUUGGAAAAAUAUUUUUGUAUUUUUUGGAUAUCAAAAACUAUUUAAAAUGAAUUAAAAAUAAGCAGAAAAGAGAAAAUUCCUAAAAAAUAUCAAAUGAUAAAAUAAAAAAUAUUAAAAAUCAUUUUUAGAAAGUAAAAAUUAAAAGGAGAAAAAUGAAAUUGGUCUCGUAUUUUUUGGACCAAUAAUGAAGGAGUUAUGAAUUUUUAAAAAGAAAUGGAAUUAAAAAAAAUAAAAGAAAUAGAAAUCAGAAAUUAAAAAAAUGAAAAUUUGUGGACCGUCUGGUGGUACUUCAUUAAUUGACGUGGAUCAUCACACGGCUAAGAAGCGCGCGUUCACCAUAUGCACAAGUC
RNAcentral lists this long non-coding RNA (375 nucleotides) under Lathyrus oleraceus (garden pea). RNAcentral's name for it is "Pisum sativum (pea) long non-coding RNA (PSAT_LNC007836)". The record is from RNAcentral. Lineage: Eukaryota; Viridiplantae; Streptophyta; Magnoliopsida; Fabales; Fabaceae.